AGCAGCCGCGGUAAUUCCAGCUCCAAUAGCGUAUAUUAAAGUUGUUGCAGUUAAAAAGCUCGUAGUUGAAUUUCGGGGUUCUACCGUUGGUCGGGCUUUGUCUGUACUGGCGUGUAGAAUUUCUACCUUCUGGGGAACCAUCAUGUUAUUAAUUUAACGUGGUGGGAAACCAGGACCUUUACCUUGAAAAAAUUAGAGUGUUCAAAGCAGGCUUAUGUCUGAAUACAUUAGCAUGGAAUAAUAGAAUAGGACGGUGGUCCUGUUUUGUUGGUUUCUGAAUCACCGUAAUGAUUAAUAGGGAUAGUUGGGGGCAUUAGUAUUCAAUUGUCAGAGGUGAAAUUCUUGGAUUUAUUGAAGACUAACUUCUGCGAAAGCAUUUGCCAAGGAUGUUUUCAUUAAUCAAGAACGAAAGUUAGGGGAUCGAGGACGAUCAGAUACCGUCGUAGUCUU
Molecule: ribosomal RNA, 450 nt
Filed under: uncultured Scutellospora
Lineage: Eukaryota; Fungi; Glomeromycota; Glomeromycetes; Diversisporales; Gigasporaceae
Description: SSU rRNA
Rfam family: Eukaryotic small subunit ribosomal RNA
Source: RNAcentral